This is a long non-coding RNA of Corvus hawaiiensis (hawaiian crow), 813 nucleotides long. RefSeq lists it as uncharacterized. The transcript is spliced from 3 exons. NCBI's taxonomy places the organism in Eukaryota, Metazoa, Chordata, Aves, Passeriformes, Corvidae. The record is from RefSeq and is a predicted model, not a curated record.
UUCGGAGCGGAGCGAUGCCCAGGCACGUCCCAGUUCGGUCAGAAGCAGAGGAGGGGGACGGCGGCUGGAAGCUCGUGGUUUUCCAGGACAUGAUGAUAAGACUAGGAUGCACUCAGAGUGAAGAAUGAGGACUGUAGGAAAAUGAACAGGGCUAAGGACCAGCUUGGCUUGCUGCUGGUGGAGCCUGAGGGACACAAAGCAGGGGAAAGAAGAUGGAGGAAACUAAAGGAGGAAGACUAUCCUGUUUUAGCAGCACUGAGUUAUCAAAUGGGCUCAGUUGUAUUAUUAGUUCUGACUCUCCCAAUGGCUCUCAGGGCUUUGCCGAUUUGAGGGGAGGAAGUGGGUUAGAAAUACAUGGCCCAGGGCAAAGCUGAGAGGUGCAUGACUGGGUCCCCCUGUUUUGAGGGGACAGCCAGCCACUGGGACAGGCUAAUUGUACUGGAAAACUCCACCCUAAAUCUCUUUGAAGAUCUGCCUUUCUUUCCUUCACUUCCUUAGGCCUCUUUUGCUACUCUGUUCCAUAAAACUUUCAGGAAAAAAAUGCAUCCUUUUCUCCAAGAGCAUUUGAAUCACACCAAAGUAGGCCAGGUGAUAAUUGCGCACCACAUUGUAGUGCUGCUUAAAUGUCAGAUGUUAAUUAAAGCCUUUCCUGAAAAUGGGUCAUUAAUUAGGGCAAAUGCAGCCAUUCUUUAUGGAUUCUAACUAAUCUGUGAGUAAAAGCAUUAUUUCAACACCGGUAUUGAAAUUGUUAAUUUUUAUUUGUCUGAGGUGUGUUUGUUAUUGAAAGAAAAACAAGUGAAAAAAAUUAUAACU